CUCAGGUUCUUGCACAGAACCCCCGGCCCAGCUCCUGGAGCCAAAGGACACUAGUUACUGCUCCCCAGUGUCAACACUAGUGCUCACCGUGGUCACUCGCCAGUGUCACCAUCAGUGCUCACCGUGGUCACUCGCAGAAAGGAGCCCUCAAGAUGCCUGUUGAAAUCAGUGCUCCAAGUCCAGGGGAAAUCCUGGGAUAGACGAGGAGAUGAAUUCAGUUCAAUCGAGCGUUUGCUUCAUGAGCAUUGACCAUGUACCCAGGACUCCUUGAGAAUCUGGGAGAGUUGAGAUCCCAGAGCGGCCCUCACCCUGACGGGCGCCCUGCGCCAGGUGGUGGGAACCAGGCUGUAGAGCGGGCGCUGCGCCCAGCCGGCUGGGCCUUGGACAGGAAGCGCGAGGUCGGGCCGUGCACAGCCUCUCCCGCUCGGCACGGCGGAGCGCAGAGAGCGCUCGCAGGGCCUGAGCUGGAGCUGGCGACCGAGCCCAGGUCCACGGCGACUCCUCUGCCUUGAACGGCCCCGCCGGCGAGAGGUCUGGGGCAGGCGGCCUGAUCCACGCCCGUCUGCGCCGCGUCCGUGUGCACGAGAGGGGCCCACUCGUACACGUAACCGCACAAGUCUGCACAAAAUGCCUCCCACCGUGGAGCAGACCUUGUUUUUGUCUGGGAUCCGUAAUUUUGCAUCUGAACAUGGCGCCGGGGCCGCUGAGGGAGAGCGCCUCCCGGCGACCAGGUGUGCUCGGGGCUGUGGAUACCCUGGCCGAACCCCGGGUUCAUCACACAGCCUCCGGCGUUCCCAACCGUUAACGAGGAAAUCGAUAUUCCUAACUUGCCAACGACAGCUUGAUCCCAGACCUCACCCCACCCCCAUGCGGCCAGGCACCCCGGCAUCGCUGAGCUCGGACUCCCCACCCCCAGCCCCACCGGCCCCACGCACAGCCUCUCCUGAACGCACUGCCUUUCUGCGGGCAUUUCCGGAACUCUCGUCCUCUCUCCUAUCCCGUCCCCCAGUUGCUUUGGCAAACUGAGCUCCAUGGCUCCCAGCAGGGGGGAGGGGUUGGACACCUCACAGCGGGCUCUGGCGCCCAGACUUGUGUUAGUGGUGACCCCCGUGCCCAUGCCAGCGUGCACUCUGGCUCACCAAAGCACUUUCCCGGCUGUUGUCCAAUGUGAGGCUCACGGCAACCCCGGAACAGGCAUUUUACCCUUGUUUUUGGCAAGGAGGCCUAGCGGAGGGGCUGGGAAAUGGCUGCCUGGCAGCAGGUAUGGUGCCAGGGACGGGGUGGGCAUCCCGCCUCUUGGCUUCCAGCCUGGACCCCGUGUCCCUGGGAUCUUCAGGAGCGCCCUUGGGAGCAGUCCUGGCAUGGACCGCCUACCCUAGACAUGAGCAAUUGGACACUCCUCCGACCCCCGAGGCUGGUUCCAGGAGGAGCCUGGGACGUCCAAGCGGGCGCUGGGGGCGGGCCCCGGGGAGGGCGAUCCGAGCCGCCCUGCUCGUCACCCACCUCCCUGCUGCUGGCCGAGGCCGGCCUUCCCUCUGCCGAGGACUCCGGAUCCUGAGCCUUCCUGAUUGAUUCCUUAAAUAGUAAUGCAACCGAAGAUAUUAAUGUGCUUCCCCACAGAGUGCACACUCCCAGGCAUGACUUGCUAUUAGGAACAUGGAGGCUGUUGUGCAGUUUUUCCUUUCCCUUCACGGCCUCAGGGACAAAAUGCAGAGGACAAGGCCUGGCGCCCGAGCGGGCACUUAAUUAAAAUAUUUGUGGCGUGCUUAAUUAAUUAAUUAAUCAUAUUGCUGUGCAAAUUCAAGGAACAGCGACGCGGCUUGUGUGAUGUCUGAUGAGACUGAUACGGGUCCUACUUUCCCCGUAGGAGCUCGCUUUGGGGUGGCUAAUUGGAGCAGGAGAGGUAGGUCAGUGGAACAGUAUUUUGGGACGGCCGCUGGGAACGCUUUUCUUGUUGCUUCUCCUUACUGUGUAGUUCAAGUGGACUGGCGUGUUAUUUAAAAACCUACGAAGAAUGCCCGAGCGGAUGCAAAGAAGUGGAGAAACUACGCACACGAACAGAGAUAGGCUGGGAGCGGCCGAGGGGCCUCUGGCGGGUCUGGACACCGGUCAGAGGGGAUGAGCGGCCUCCGGGCGGGCCGUGCGGGCCGUGCGGGGUCCUGACCAGAGGUGUGCGGCACAGGAAGCGAUGCUGGAGGAAGGCCACCCCGUCCGAGGAGGUGCGUCCGCCCCUAAGAAGUCCAGCUGGCCGAGCAGGUCAGGGAGCCCAAGUCCUGGCCCGUGGGUGUGAAGCGGGGCCUGCGAGCCCUCAGGGGCGUGCUGGGGGCCGGCGUGGAAGGGCCCCAACGUCCAAGAGGGGUCGGCUGGCAGGCGGCAGGAUUUCCUCGUAGUCAGGAUUCACCCAAUGCCUUCCUGAUGGAAGGAGCAGGUCUGAGAGCCACUGCAGUGUGCGUGAGCAGUUCCCUCGAGUCCUGUGCCUUGGUGUGUGGCUCCGUGAGAGCACCUUGCAGCGCGCCUCCGAGCUGACCGCUUUCCGGAGUGACUGAUGGCCCCAAGGAGAGCCUCCCUGAAGAGACCACCAUUGUCUUCAAAGACCUUCUUGCCAAAAGGCCUGUUGUGGAUCAGAAAUUAGACAUUGUGAUCGUUAGAAACAUCUGUCCUAUAUUUCCGCAUAUUUUAAUUAACUGUGGAAUUUCUCAUGAAAAUAUUACAAUGAAAAUAACUACUCGUGCCUCCCACGUGUCCCCGGCCAAACUGAGCUCUGCCUUCGAGGCAGGAGGAUAAUCAACCACAAGGACAUUCACAGAAGUGGCCCCGGCCGUGGGCGUGAUCGUGGCCGACUCUGGGAAUGCUUCUCUACUUCUGGUUAGAAAAGCCAGCGUUCGGGUUUGGGGCUAAUGGAGCAAGAUGAUGCAUGGCAUCCCGAGGUGGACCUGAAGGCCGCACUUCCCACUGCGUGUUCAGGCAGCGGAACUGCGGGGCCCUGGCCCGCGCGGCCGCCACAGCCGCCCCCCGCUGCCCUUUGUGUCCCGACAGUGUCUGUGCUGCUUACGGGGCAAUAAAAAUGGUGUGCUAGGAACAGUUCCCGUGACGGAUCCUUCUCCUGAUGCCUUCUGACAUCUCUGCGGCUGGGCGCGUCACCGGCCUUGCUGAAGGCUCCCUAAGCAACGCGACCAGGCCAAUCAAGCAAUGAAGUGACCGUGUGAUUGCCUGACCCCCGUGGCCCUACCGACUCCGUGUUCCUCGGGGGCUCCAGACACGCUAGACUGGUUUGCGGGGCUCCUGGCUCCAGCGGGUCCAUGCAGACGCGACGUCCACGCUGGGCCGGCUCCCUGGACCGUCCCAGACUCUCCUUCCUCAUUUCUCUGUUCAGGAGCCUUGUCCCAGGGCCGUGGCGGCAGAGGGCCGGGAGAGGAGCCCCCCUCAGGGAGGAAGUCUUGAGUUCCGUCACGCACAGCUCCCGUCGCUGAGACGUGUGCGGGAUGUGAUCAGAGACGUGUGCGUCUAUCCUGGGCGCCCAUUGCUCUUCUGCACGUCUGCUUCCGCGUCUCCCCUCUUUUGAUGAAUGACGUGUGCCCACUCGUCAGGGCUGCAUGCCUGUGGGGACCCUGGCACCUCCUCCAAAGUCCUCAGCCUUCCCUGUUUCCUUCUCAAUGCCACACACUCACACUCUGGGUGUUUCCUCGGACAAGGCUGACGCGUACUCUGAAUUAUCUCUCUGGACAUCGUCAUCCGGAAAAUGCCAACCGAAGUCACAUGGCAAUAGCACCGUGUACCUGUUAGGAUGGCAGUCACGAAAGGAAUAAUGGCAAGUGUUGGUGAGGAACUGGACAUAAGAAACCCUUGUACGCCUUCAGUAGGAGUGCGAUUUGGUGUAGACAUUACAGAAAACAAGAUGGAGGUUCCCCCCGAACUAGAAACCGCACUACCGUGUACGGCAGCAGUCACGCCUCCGGGUGUAGACUCAAUGCAAAUGAAAUCAGUGCCUCAGAGAGGUGUCUGCACCCUUGUGUUCACCGCAGCUGAGACAUGGAAACAACCCAGAUGUCCAUCAAUGAACGAGUGGGUAAGGACUGUGACACACACACACACACACACACACACACACACACACACACACACACUCUCUGAAUAUUGUUUGGCUUCAGAAAAGGAGAGUCUGCCAUUGUGGCCACGUGCAUGAACCUGCAGACCUUCCGGCUUUGUAAAACAAGCCGGACCCAGAAAGAAAAAGCCCUGUGUGAUCUCACUCAUUCUAGAAUUUUAAAAAACGGAACCAUAAAAACAGAGUGGAAUGGUGGUUUCCAGGGUCCCCUGGAGGCUCGGGGGGUGGGGAGAUGUUGGUCACAGGGCACAGAGUGGCAUUUACAUAGCUGAGUGAGUGUGGAGGCCCAGCGUGCAGCCUGGGCCCCCGGCGUGAACCCUGGACUUGCUGACGCAGCACGUGCAGGCACCCCCCACGCGCACACAGAAGUCAACCCGUAAAAAUACUAAAAAGGAACGUGGACCGGCAUGGAAUCCUGCCAUCCGUACCCUCCUCCAGAGUGAUGAGGUCUGUGCACCUGUUCAACGGCGUGGCAGGCGCCUCGUAGGAGCACUUGUCCAUCACGCCCUUGGCUUCAGUGUCGCCUCUUUAGACUCGAUGCUUCCCCUGGGACACAGGUCGGUCCCUCGUUGCCUCCCGGGGACAGUGGGCUCAGCGUUCAGCUGUGUGCUGGUCCUGCUUCUACUGCUGACAGAUCCGCCUCCGUGGCGGCCACCAUCUCUCUGGACUCCCACACCACUGUGCACGGGAGGACCACCGGUGAGCCUGCAGACCCCACUCGGACCCCUAGCACGCCGGAGGCCACACGUCCUGCCCUGGCUGUCGAGUAGUCACGGUGCAGGAGGGAGGGAGCAGUAAGCUGGCGAGAGCCGCCAAGAACCAGCCCAGGCCCGACAGGAGGCUCGGGGAACGUCAGAGGCCACAGCAGUGACAGGACCGACACCACCACCACAAGCCCUGAAUUGGGAGCUAGAGACGCAGGUCGUGGGUCCUUCUGGACCGGGUCACGUAGAGCUUUCCUCCUGGUGGGAAACCGGCCGAAGCGCACCUUCUCUCCAGGGUUAGUCGAGGUCCAGUGAGGGGGUGUGGUGGCUAAGAGCGCUCGGAUGGAUGCACGGGGCCGGUCCAUUCCGCAGGACGUCCGUCCUCCAUUGGAAAAUCAUCAGAGCAAAGAGAGCUUUCCUUACCCUUGGAUUCAGGGCCGUCAGAAGCCUCUGACUGAACGGAAGCCCUUCCAGCAGCGACAUAGAUAGCAUGCCUUUGGAGUCUCGUCUCUCUGGGCCCGUGUCUUCAUGUGAAACCUCGACGGGGGCGCCCAACGGGCAGGGCCUGCGGGAUGGAAACAGCAGGAAGUGUCCCCGCCGGAACUUACAGGCUGAAGCAAGUCUGCUGUGCACACAGAAGGCCUUUGAGUCCCUGCCUGGCCUUUGGCUGUUCCUCCUGGGACAGAGACAGACGCUCGCUCCCCGGUGUGCGUGUGCAGGCCUCUGUCAGCGGUGGCACGUUCACACACCCCAGCCAUUCCAGGAGACAGUUAACUUGUGUGUUUUAAUAAAGACGUGCGUGUUCAGACUUGCUCUGCCCGCGCUCCCAUGUGGAGCCGGCAGCGGGGACCCAGCCCGGAAGGCUGCACGUGGGCAUUUUCGCUCCUCA
This is a long non-coding RNA of Suricata suricatta (meerkat), 5698 nucleotides long. RefSeq lists it as uncharacterized. The record is from RefSeq and is a predicted model, not a curated record. The transcript has 4 exons. NCBI's taxonomy places the organism in Eukaryota, Metazoa, Chordata, Mammalia, Carnivora, Herpestidae.